RNAcentral lists this ribosomal RNA (278 nucleotides) under uncultured bacterium. Its description in RNAcentral is "partial 16S ribosomal RNA". It matches the Rfam family "Bacterial small subunit ribosomal RNA", at positions 511 to 788 of the family's 1533-position model. The record is from RNAcentral.
GCAGCCGCGGUAAUACGUAGGGGGCAAGCGUUAUCCGGAUUUACUGGGUGUAAAGGGAGCGUAGGCGGCAUGGCAAGUCAGAAGUGAAAAUCCGGGGCUCAACCCCGGAACUGCUUUUGAAACUGUCAGGCUUGAGUGUCGGAGAGGUAAGUGGAAUUCCUAGUGUAGCGGUGAAAUGCGUAGAUAUUAGGAGGAACACCAGUGGCGAAGGCGGCUUACUGGACGAUAACUGACGCUGAGGCUCGAAAGCGUGGGGAGCAAACAGGAUUAGAUACCCC